GAUGAUAAUUUUAUAUAGUUGACUACUGGGAGUAUUACGUGUAUAACAAAUUCUUCAUUACAUCUAUAGUUAUGAUAUUAGUCUUUUUUCUGCCCAUUUUAACAUGGUGUUGUGGAGGUAAUAAGAGGGAUAUCUUCCUUUUAUUUAUGAUUAUGAUUAUUAUAAUUUCGAUUCUCUUGAUGUCAUAUUACCUAGAUCGCAUAAAAGAAACAAUAGAAAGUUUUAUUUCAAUUUUACAAUAUGUAUUGGCUGCAUUCAUACCAUAUUUGGUGUACUGUCUUGUUCCUG
Amphimedon queenslandica is the source of this 288-nucleotide long non-coding RNA. RefSeq lists it as uncharacterized. The transcript has 3 exons. The record is from RefSeq and is a predicted model, not a curated record. NCBI's taxonomy places the organism in Eukaryota, Metazoa, Porifera, Demospongiae, Haplosclerida, Niphatidae.